AUUGCCUAUAUAGAAUGAUCAUAUUGUAAGAGAGGAGGAGGACCACGAAAUUGAAGAGAAAGGAGUGAGAAAAGAGUGAAAAAAGAGAGAAAAUUUGAGUUGUUUAGCCAAAAAUAUUUCUAUCUUCCAUAUACACCCCAUACCUUCCAUAGCUACUGAAAUUCCUCAUUUCCAUACACCAAAAUCACUCCAAAAAUUCUGAUAUAGCCAAAGAUCAAUCGCCUCGAUCAUAAGGAAGAAUGUUUAGUGAUUGAAAGUGAGAAAAACUUGAGAGUUAGCCACUUUCCAUACCACAAACUCCAUAAACUCCAUAAUUUCGAAUUGAGGAUUUGAGAACACACUUCCUACACUUGAGGGUGAUCAAGAGGAAGUUUGGAAAUCAAGAAGUUCAAUCUUUCUUUGGAAGGUUUUGCUUGGCCUAGUUCGCCGGCCGGCCUAUUUGGCCGGUCGGUUAGCUUCUUCCGAACAAGAUGGCGUAAUCUCCCAAUAUUGACCAAUUUCCGCCGGCGGUUCUAAAGAACAUGAAGCUUUUAUUUUAUUUAUUUAUUUUAUUUUGAGUGUAUUGUGAGGUUUUUAUUUUGUUGUAAUAUUCUCCUCAUCCCUCUCUAAUUUGGUUUGUAAUUAUUCUUUAAA
Camellia sinensis is the source of this 633-nucleotide non-coding RNA. NCBI's taxonomy places the organism in Eukaryota, Viridiplantae, Streptophyta, Magnoliopsida, Ericales, Theaceae. The record is from RefSeq and is a predicted model, not a curated record.